Molecule: ribosomal RNA, 253 nt
Filed under: uncultured bacterium
Lineage: Bacteria
Description: partial 16S ribosomal RNA
Rfam family: Bacterial small subunit ribosomal RNA
Source: RNAcentral
UACGUAGGUGGCGAGCGUUGUCCGGAAUUACUGGGUGUAAAGGGCGUGUAGGCGGGGAUAUAAGUCAGAUGUGAAAUACCAUGGCUUAACUGUGGGGCUGCAUCUGAAACUAUGUUUCUUGAGUGCUGGAGAGGGAAGCGGAAUUCCUAGUGUAGCGGUGAAAUGCGUAGAUAUUAGGAGGAACCCCAGUGGCGAAGGCGGCUUUCUGGACAGUAACUGACGCUGAGGCGCGAAAGCGUGGGGAGCAAACAGG